AUUACUCCUACGGGAGGCAGCAGUGAGGAAUAUUGGUCAAUGGGCGGAAGCCUGAACCAGCCAUGCCGCGUGCAGGAUGACUGCCCUAUGGGUUGUAAACUGCUUUUGUCCGGGAAUAAACCUAAAUACGUGUAUUUAGCUGAAUGUACUGGAAGAAUAAGGAUCGGCUAACUCCGUGCCAGCAGCCGCGGUAAUAGCAGCCGCCCAGCAGCCGCGGUAAUACUCCUACGGGAGGCAGCAGCCGCGGUAAUAAUC
Molecule: ribosomal RNA, 255 nt
Filed under: uncultured bacterium
Lineage: Bacteria
Description: partial 16S ribosomal RNA
Rfam family: Bacterial small subunit ribosomal RNA (bases 1-209)
Source: RNAcentral